Cannabis sativa is the source of this 285-nucleotide long non-coding RNA. RefSeq lists it as uncharacterized. The transcript has 2 exons. Lineage: Eukaryota; Viridiplantae; Streptophyta; Magnoliopsida; Rosales; Cannabaceae. The record is from RefSeq and is a predicted model, not a curated record.
CAAAAGAGACAGAUAGUUAAGAAAGAGGAAACAAUAGGGGGUUAUCACUUUAGGGGUAUUUAUAGCCCUAUCAGUUAUCACAUGAUUUGUCUAUAUAUAUAGACAAAAAACAAACUCAUGUAAUCUCAGCACCAUACCCACUUGGGUCUGAUUCUCACCACAAGCCAACAAUUUCUUUUUUUUUAUCUUUUAAAAAGAUCAUUAUAUAAUCAAAUAAGGUGCAAAUUGUAUAUUUUGGAGUUUAUUUUAUUUUCUCUUCUGUCCCUUUUAACUUCAGUCUUUAUG